Molecule: ribosomal RNA, 621 nt
Filed under: uncultured Gammaproteobacteria bacterium
Lineage: Bacteria; Pseudomonadati; Pseudomonadota; Gammaproteobacteria
Description: bacterial SSU rRNA
Rfam family: Bacterial small subunit ribosomal RNA
Source: RNAcentral
AGCGGCGGACGGGUGAGUAACGCGUGAGAAUCUACCCAUGAGUGGGGGACAACCCGGGGAAACUCGGGCUAAUACCGCAUACGCCCUACGGGGUAAAGCAGGGGACCUUCGGGCCUUGCGCUGAUGGAUGAGCUCGCGUCGGAUUAGCUUGUUGGUGAGGUAAAGGCUCACCAAGGCGACGAUCCGUAGCUGGUCUGAGAGGAUGAUCAGCCACACCGGGACUGAGACACGGCCCGGACUCCUACGGGAGGCAGCAGUGGGGAAUCUUGGACAAUGGGGGCAACCCUGAUCCAGCCAUGCCGCGUGUGUGAAGAAGGCCUUCGGGUUGUAAAGCACUUUCAGUAGGGAGGAAGGCUUACCCCUAAUACGGGUGAGUACUUGACGUUACCUACAGAAGAAGCACCGGCUAAUUUCGUGCCAGCAGCCGCGGUAAUACGAAAGGUGCAAGCGUUAAUCGGAAUUACUGGGCGUAAAGCGCGCGUAGGCGGUGUGUUAAGUCGGAUGUGAAAGCCCAGGGCUCAACCUUGGAAUUGCUUCCGAUACUGGCACGCUAGAGUGCAGUAGAGGGAGGUGGAGUUUCCGGUGUAGCGGCGACGUGCGUAGAUAUCCUAGGGAACAAUG